GAUGAACGCUGGCGGCGUGCCUAAUACAUGCAAGUCGAGCGAACGGACGAGAAGCUUGCUUCUCUGAUGUUAGCGGCGGACGGGUGAGUAACACGUGGAUAACCUACCUAUAAGACUGGGAUAACUUCGGGAAACCGGAUCUAAUACCGGAUAAUAUUUUGAACCGCAGGGUUCAACAGUGAAAGACGGUCUUGCUGUCACUUAUAGAUGGAUCCGCGCUGCAUUAGCUAGUUGGUAAGGUAACGGCCUACCAAGGCAACGAUGCAUAGCCGACCUGAGAGGGUGAUCGGCCACACUGGAACUGAGACACGGUCCAGACUCCUACGGGAGGCAGCAGUAGGGAAUCUUCCGCAAUGGGCGAAAGCCUGACGGAGCAACGCCGCGUGAGUGAUGAAGGUCUUCGGAUCGUAAAACUCUGUUAUUAGGGAAGAACAUAUGUGUAAGUAACUGUGCACAUCUUGACGGUACCUAAUCAGAAAGCCCCGGCUAACUACGUG
RNAcentral lists this ribosomal RNA (497 nucleotides) under uncultured bacterium. RNAcentral's name for it is "partial 16S ribosomal RNA". It matches the Rfam family "Bacterial small subunit ribosomal RNA", at positions 28 to 507 of the family's 1533-position model. The record is from RNAcentral.